AGCUAAGAACACGCGGGUGAAAUCAUAUUUUUGCUGUUGACUUUUUAAAUUUAAAAACCUAACCAGCCGGUUAACUGGUCAGGUUUAAACAAGGGAGGGCACCUAAGAAGAUAGGUGCCCAGGAGAUUUAUGAAAAGGGAAAACAAGGGGAAAACCUAUUCUCCCAACGGUUUAGGUAAACCGCUUUUUAGGAUGUUUUCAUUCUACGAUAGUAACC
Molecule: non-coding RNA, 217 nt
Filed under: Streptococcus pyogenes
Lineage: Bacteria; Bacillati; Bacillota; Bacilli; Lactobacillales; Streptococcaceae
Source: RNAcentral